GAGGAAUCUUGCGCAAUGGGGGAAACCCUGACGCAGCCACGCCGCGUGCCAGAUGAAGGCCCUACGGGUCGUAAAUGGCUUUUGGUCGGGAAGAUAAGCCGGGUUUCGACCUGGUGUGACGGUACCGACUGAAUAAGCACCGGCUAACUCCGUGCCAGCAGCCGCGGUAAUACGGAGGGUGCAAGCGUUGUCCGGAAUCAUUGGGUGUAAAGGGUGCGUAGGCGGAUGUCUAAGUCUGGGGUGAAAUCUUGCAGCUUAACUGUAAAAUUGCCUUGGAUACUGGAUGUCUUGAGUACAGAAGAGGAUGGUGGAAUUCGUAGUGUAGCGGUGAAAUGCAUAGAUAUUACGAA
RNAcentral lists this ribosomal RNA (350 nucleotides) under uncultured bacterium. RNAcentral describes it as "bacterial SSU rRNA". It matches the Rfam family "Bacterial small subunit ribosomal RNA", at positions 356 to 703 of the family's 1533-position model. The record is from RNAcentral.